This is a small nucleolar RNA of Cynocephalus volans (Philippine flying lemur), 214 nucleotides long. RefSeq annotates it as small nucleolar RNA U3. The record is from RefSeq and is a predicted model, not a curated record. The transcript has a single exon. NCBI's taxonomy places the organism in Eukaryota, Metazoa, Chordata, Mammalia, Dermoptera, Cynocephalidae.
AAGACUAUACUUUCAGGGUUCAUUUCUAUAGUUCAUUACUAGACAAGUUUCUCUGUAUGUGUAGAGCACUGAAAACCACGAGGAGGAGGCACAGCGUUCUCACCUGAGCGUAAAGCUGGCUCUUGGUGCUGCUUUGUCGUAACUGCCAUUCGCCAUUGAUGAUCAUUAUUUCUCUCCUUUCAGGAGAGUAAGAAGAGAAAGCAGCCUGAGUAGC